This 365-nucleotide ribosomal RNA is filed under the name uncultured Acinetobacter sp. Its description in RNAcentral is "bacterial SSU rRNA". It matches the Rfam family "Bacterial small subunit ribosomal RNA", at positions 1138 to 1501 of the family's 1533-position model. Lineage: Bacteria; Pseudomonadati; Pseudomonadota; Gammaproteobacteria; Moraxellales; Moraxellaceae. The record is from RNAcentral.
CUUUAAGGAUACUCCCAGUGACANACUGGAGGAAGGCGGGGACGACGUCAAGUCAUCAUGGCCCUUACGACCAGGGCUACACACGUGCUACAAUGGUCGGUACAAAGGGUUGCUACCUAGCGAUAGGAUGCUAAUCUCAAAAANCCGAUCGUAGUCCGGAUUGGAGUCUGCAACUCGACUCCAUGAAGUCGGAAUCGCUAGUAAUCGCGGAUCAGAAUGCCGCGGUGAAUACGUUCCCGGGCCUUGUACACNCCGCCCGUCACACCAUGGGAAUUUGUUGCGCCAGAAGUAGGUAGUCUAACCGCAAGGAGGACGCUUACCACGGUGUGGCCGAUGACUGGGGUGAAGUCGUAAACAAGGUAACC